CGGGGAAUAUUGCACAAUGGAGGGAACUCUGAUGCAGCGACGCCGCGGGAGUGAUGAAGGAAUUCGUUUCGUAAAACUCUGUUCUAUGGGAAGAAAAGGACUGUACCAUAGGAGAAAGCUCCGGCUAAAUACGUGCCAGCAGCCGCGGUAAUACGUAUGGAGCGAGCGUUGUCCGGAAUUAUUGGGCGUAAAGGGUGCGCAGGCGGCUUUACAAGUUGGAUGUGAAAUAUUGUGGCUCAACCACAAACGUGCAUCCAAAACUGCAAAGCUUGAGUUAAGGAGAGGUAAGUGGAAUUCCUGGUGUAGCGGUGGAAUGCGUAGAUAUCAGGAGGAAUACCGGUGACGAAGGCGACUUACUGGACUUAAACUGACGCUCAGGCACGAAAGCGUGGGGAGCAAACAGG
Molecule: ribosomal RNA, 404 nt
Filed under: Fusobacteriota bacterium
Lineage: Bacteria; Fusobacteriati; Fusobacteriota
Description: Fusobacteria bacterium partial 16S ribosomal RNA
Rfam family: Bacterial small subunit ribosomal RNA
Source: RNAcentral